RNAcentral lists this microRNA precursor (136 nucleotides) under Glycine max (soybean). RNAcentral describes it as "miR10421 stem-loop (gma-MIR10421)". Lineage: Eukaryota; Viridiplantae; Streptophyta; Magnoliopsida; Fabales; Fabaceae. The record is from miRBase by way of RNAcentral.
UGCCUCAGUUUGUGUGCCGCCUCUCCGGUUUCAGUUCUUCGCGUUUCUCUGCACCUGUCGGGACCCGUUUUCAAAGGUAGGCAAUAUAUAUAUAUCAAAACGCUCAGAAUGAGACCUUGAGCGUGGUUCAGAGGUU